UUGCCUUUGUAAUUUUGUAAAUGUAUACAUGUAAAUAUUUGUAAAUGGAUAUAUUUGUGUUUUGUCAAUGUAUAUUGAUGCAAUGACUGUCUGUGCUAUGAGUGCGUAUGAGUGUGUAUGAGUAUGUGUGUAAUGUCAGUGACCCUCAGGGUGAUCACCUUUAUCUGCAUGUUGCCUUUAGAUGAGAUUAGGGCUUAGUGAUUGGCAUGAUAUCUGUUAAUUUACUGGUGGUUAAUCUGGGUUCACUCUGGUGGUGUAGGCUUCACCCAUGCUGUCCCUAUGAUUGACUGACUGUGGUAAGAUCAGUCAAUUACACAGGUAAGACUCCAGUGUAUUUCCUGCCCCGGGUCGGUUGGUGCUGGAUCUGUACAAGCUGAGGAAAUUGAGUAGGAAGAUCUUCUCGUCCACAGGAUGUCUUCAGGAUUCUUUUGGACCGGUUGACCAAGUAUGGAGAAGAUGGAUCCUGGUUAAAGGGACCUGAGGUGAGCGCAAGGACUGUCCAUUCACACCCCAGACCAAAGUUCUUACCUGACCUGGGGCGGACCACAGUGAGCUGAAGAGGACUAAAUAUGUUGGAGUGGAUCUGGAGGCCACCACCAUGAAAGGCUGAAGACUCCCUGUGAAGAACGCCCUUUAAAAUGUCAGUAGACUUUCGAAGAUCCUUCAUCCUGGUCAGAUCAAGACUGCCUGCAGCCAAGAUGAUCCAGACCUGACUUCUAUCUACUGUUGAGAUUGGUCAUCAUAAAGCUCUUCAACACAGUAAGGAGCGUCUGUUCUUUCUUGUACUACCUGAGGAAAUUGAGUAGGAAGAUCUUCUCGUCCACAGGAUGUCUUCAGGAUUCUUUUGGACCGGUUGACCAAGUAUGGAGAAGAUGGAUCCUGGUUAAAGGGACCUGAGGUGAGCGCAAGGACUGUCCAUUCACACCCCAGACCAAAGUUCUUACCUGACCUGGGAUGGACCACAGUGAGCUGAAGAGGACUAAAUAUGUUGGAGGGGAUCUGGAGGCCACCACCAUGAAAGGCUGAAGACUCCCUGUGAAGAACGCCCUUUAAAAUACUUUGGAAGAUCCUGCACCUGGUCGGAUCAAGACUGCCUGCAGCCAAGAUGAUCCAGACCUGACUUCUUUCUACUGUUGAGGUCCUAGCCCCCGACUGCCCAGGCCCACCACUGCUGAGAAGGAGACAGGAGUCCGCUCGGCUGUCUGUUUUUAUUUUAUUAUUUUUUUGUUUGCUUUGUAUUUGUUAUUUAUUUAUUUGUAUUUUUUUAGUAAGGUUGACCAUUUACAGAUCAGCAUGGUAUUUCAUGGAUAGUCUAAGAUUUGGUCUUUGGUCACUGAGGACAUGAGCUACAGCCUUGAUUUUAGAUUUUAUUGCUUUAGUUUACAAUCAGUCAGAGUUUAAUGAGCUGGAUUUCUGUCAUACUACUAACCACUACACUCCUGUCCUAACCCUUUUUCUUCUUCUUCUUCUUCUUCUUCUUCUUGGUGCUUAAAAAUCCAGUCACGAACUCUUACUGAGUGCUGUACCAUGGAUGCCUUUUCCAAAAUCAGACCUGGAUCCAUCUGUUUUUGUGAUCUGGUUCAUCCAUGGUACAACAUUAUCCUCUAAAAAUGCUACCAUCAUCAGAAUGAAUGAUGACUUGGUUUAUUAUCAAGCGCUUGUAGUUAUUUCGUUAGUGUUCCUUAGGCCAACUCAAGGACUUUCCAUGAGAACCCAUGCUGAUGUAAUUGAUGGUUGCCUUGUUUGUUUUAGUUUUGGGGGUGGAGCUCCACAGUAGUCCUGCUUUGUUUGGUUUAUUUUUUUUUUUUGCAUAGGCCUAUAUUUACACUUUUUAUGUUUUGAAACAUGUUCCCAUUACAAAGUUUUCUAUAAAUGUUUAACUCAAAAUAAAAGUGUUUCUCCAACAAGACUUUCUUCAGGUUGAGUUCCUCACACACAUUAAGGAAACUUUAAGAAAAAAAAGCUCCCCUUUUUCAGUUGGAUUUAAAUCUGGUUCUUUUAGCAGGAGCCAAUUAUUUUCCUUUCUGAAAGGUGGCUACCCUCCCCACCAACCAGGUAAAACACAAGUGAAUCAAG
Long non-coding RNA from Cynoglossus semilaevis (tongue sole), 2076 nucleotides. RefSeq lists it as uncharacterized. The transcript has 9 exons. The record is from RefSeq and is a predicted model, not a curated record. NCBI's taxonomy places the organism in Eukaryota, Metazoa, Chordata, Actinopteri, Pleuronectiformes, Cynoglossidae.